Molecule: long non-coding RNA, 459 nt
Organism: Poecile atricapillus (Black-capped chickadee)
Lineage: Eukaryota; Metazoa; Chordata; Aves; Passeriformes; Paridae
Exons: 3
Source: RefSeq, a predicted model, not a curated record
GAUCUGACCGCUGGGCUGUCGUUGGAGUAGAUUUGCAGGAUAAUUCACAAGACCUGGCUGGACUGGAUAGGAAGCUCCAAUGAAACGGUACCACUGGACAGUAUUACCUCAGGGGAUGAAAGCCAGCCCCUUCAUCUGCCAGUGAAAUAACCUACCUCUUACUCAAAUCCAUGAUGAGCCUUAACCCUGCUGUCAUCCUGCUGACACUGAGCAGCCUGACAGCAGCCUGGAUCGUCCCACAGCCACGCCAGAACAUCUGGGUGACCCUGGCACAAACACUCCAACAGGAAAACAUAUGUCUAUCUACUGCAGCAGCAAAAAAAUCCUAUGUCUACCUGCCUGGUAGGAAUUCCUUUGCAGCAUGAUGAAUUCACACACAGCUUUAGUACACUGACUCGUGAAGCAGGUAAUAAACUACACAGCACUCAUGUAGAAGCAGAGUUAAGAAACCCCGUCGAA